ACUGCUCAGUAACACGUAGUCAACAUGCCCAGGGGACGUGGAUAACCUCGGGAAACUGAGGAUAAACCGCGAUAGGCCAAGAUUUCUGGAAUGGAUCAUGGCUUAAAUCUAUAUGGCCCCUGGAUUGGACUGCGGCCGAUCAGGCUGUUGGUGGGGUAAUGGCCCACCAAACCUGUAACCGGUACGGGCUCUGAGAGGAGGAGCCCGGAGAUGGGCACUUAGACAAGGGCCCAGGCCCUAUGGGGCGCAGCAGGCGCGAAACCUCUGCAAUAAGCGAAAGCUUGACAGGGUUACUCUGAGUGAUUUCCGCUAAGGAAGUCUUUUGACACCUCUAAAAAUGGUGCAGAAUAAGGGGUGGGCAAGUCUGGUGUCAGCCGCCGCGGUAAUACCAGCACCCCGAGUGGUCGGGACGAUUAUUGGGCCUAAAGCAUCCGUAGCCGGUCCUGCAAGUCCUCCGUUAAAUCCACCCGCUCAACGGUUGGGCCGCGGGGGAUACUACAGGGCUAGGAGGCGGGAGAGGCAAGCGGUACUUGAUGGGUAGGGGUAAAAUCCACUGAUCCAUUGAAGACCACCAGUGGCGAAGGCGGCUUGCCAGAACGCGCUCGACGGUGAGGGAUGAAAGCUGGGGGAGCAAACCGGAUUAGAUACCCGGGUAGUCCCAGCUGUAAACGAUGCAGACUCGGUGAUGGGCUGGCUUCGUGCCUACCCGGUGCCGCAGGGAAGCCAUUAAGUCUGCCGCCUGGGGAGUACGGCCGCAAGGCUGAAACUUAAAGGAAUUGGCGGGGGAGCAC
This 791-nucleotide ribosomal RNA is filed under the name uncultured archaeon. RNAcentral's name for it is "bacterial SSU rRNA". It matches the Rfam family "Archaeal small subunit ribosomal RNA", at positions 85 to 879 of the family's 1478-position model. The record is from RNAcentral.